This 253-nucleotide ribosomal RNA is filed under the name uncultured bacterium. RNAcentral describes it as "partial 16S ribosomal RNA". It matches the Rfam family "Bacterial small subunit ribosomal RNA", at positions 524 to 776 of the family's 1533-position model. The record is from RNAcentral.
UACGUAGGGAGCAAGCGUUGUCCGGAAUUACUGGGCGUAAAGGGCGUGUAGGCGGCCAAGUAAGUUGAAAGUGAAACCCAUGGGCUCAACCCAUGGCCUGCUUUCAAAACUGCAUGGCUUGAGGAUAAGAGAGGAAAGUGGAAUUCCUAGUGUAGCGGUGAAAUGCGUAGAUAUUAGGAGGAACACCAGUGGCGAAGGCGACUUUCUGGCUUAAACCUGACGCUGAGGCGCGAAAGCGUGGGGAGCAAACAGG